RNAcentral lists this long non-coding RNA (1463 nucleotides) under Lathyrus oleraceus (garden pea). Its description in RNAcentral is "Pisum sativum (pea) long non-coding RNA (PSAT_LNC035181)". The record is from RNAcentral. Lineage: Eukaryota; Viridiplantae; Streptophyta; Magnoliopsida; Fabales; Fabaceae.
AAUGCAAAAUGAAAAUAUGAAAUUAUAUGUCAUAUUUGUUAAGAUAGAAAAAAAAUAAAAUUAAAUAUUAGUAGAACUACGGAUCCGUUUAUAUGUUGCUGCAGACUUCUUUGUAGACAACGUUAAAUAUGGAAGACUUCAUAUUGUUGUUUUCAUCGUGUAUUAAGAUUUUGAUCCCGUUUUUGCUUGUUACCCUUGAAAUUGCCACAUAUAAUUGGUCAUGACUAAAAACAUCUUUUGGUAUAUAGAGUCCAAUCAAACGGUUGUCCUUGAGAUUUGUUAAUGGUCAUUGCAUAUGAUACAAUGACCGAAACUGUCUCCUAUUUAAUUUGAACGACCAUCAUUGUAAUCCCUCUCUGGAUUACAAACUAUAUAUAUAUAUAUAUAUAAUAUAUAUAUAUAUAUAUAUAUAUAUAUAUAUAUAUAUAUAUAUAUAUAUAAUAUAUAUAUAUAUAUAUAUAUAUAUAUAUAUAUAUAUUAUAUAUAUAUAUAUAUAUAUAAUAUAGUAUAUAUAUAUAGAUAGAUAUAUAUAUAUAGAUAGAUAUAUUAAAUCAAAAAUAGUUAUUCAUCACAAGAGGUAAAGUUAUAUUAUUACCUCAACUCACCAUACUUCUCAAAAAUACACAAGUCCCAAGGACUCAUAUUUUCUCAAAAAGUUAUCAUUUUCUCAAACAUUUUUAAAACUUAACAUUUACUCAAAAAUUAUUUAUUAUUAUUGUGUCAGACCCUUAACAGGGCAUGGAUAACCAUUUCCCUUAUUUUACUCAAAAAUGACCCUAAGAUCACAAAAAGGACUCUAAAGUCAACAAUUGCUCCAAAACGUCUCUGGAGGCUCCUGAACUCCAAAAGUUUUAGGGAAUGCUCAAAAACUCAGAAAAUGCCAAAACACCCGAAAACUCGAAAAAUGCCCAAAAAUCGCCCAAUAAAAUGGCAAACUUAAAAAUCGCCCAAAAUUGGCCCACAGCGCGACCACCUGUAUUUCGCUAAAAAGUGCUUUAUGAUAAAACAACUUAAAAAUUAAGUUAUUUUGGUUUUUGGAAAAAUUCCAGAAAUAGUCGACUAAAAAAAGGGAAAAUAGUUCAGAUCCAUGAAUCCCAAUUUUGGGGAAUCAAACAACACUGAUAAAGUCGUUCGAAACUCUGGGGUAAAUUCCAACACAUAAACAGUCAAAUACACAAAACAAGUAACCAAUAGUAUAAUAUGUCAUAUUAGAAGGUCUCACCUCCAACUACGAGGUAUGGAACCCAAUGGGGAUUUAUCCCAAAUCCCACAAUUGGAUCUAUGAUCAAAACACAAUUAUUCACAGAAAGGAAAAAUUAGGGAAAACUCAUAAAAAUCCCAAAAGAGCGUUGAUAAGAGGGUAAUGAACCUUCACUAUCUCGCAUGCCAUAACCACUUAAGUGUAGACAACCGUCCCCUCCCCCUUACCUUGAAUUUGAAGCUUUCCCUUUUUUCUUUCUCUU